CUGAGGAACCAGAAAGCAAAUCAGGGAAGUGGGGAACAUCUGAGCCUCGGCGGCCCCUUUCACAUCCCUGUCUGCUGUGUUGGUCCUAGGAGGCACCAAAAGGCUCCAUUCUCCAGUUUCAGCCACCUGUCCUUCAGCCACCAGGGUCUUGAAGCUGAAGCUGCCUGCCUAGCCUACCUGCCUUUGCGAUCCCAUCACAUCCCCGAUCUGGCUUCUGGAGACUAGAAAACUGGCAAAAACUGACAAAGCUCUGACAGUUUGGUGCUGGGAGGAAGAGGAGCUGUAUCUUCGUCCCUCUGCCCCCCACCUGGAAAUCUGUGUGAUAUAUUGGAGCAUCUAUUUAUAUAUCGGAAUGAGCACUGGAUUAGGAGUCAGACUUGUGUUCUGUUCGUUUUUUCCUUGCCUCUAAACCCGGAGGAGUUGGAUGAUGACUAAACAAAUGCUUAGAUAAUGGCUCAAAAAAUAACAGUUCACAGAUUUUUUUGAUAGAGGCAAAUGACCUUACAGCUCAUAGAAUGUGUUGGGUUUUUCAAACUUUGUAUUAGCUAUAGGACUGUGUCUUUGAAUACUUUCAGUAUGGAACCCAAAUAUACAAACCCGCUAGAGGCAGAGAUGCUCUGUUAAGCAGAGCAGGUGGCCCAGAACCUUUGCCCUGGGCUUCUGUCUUCCCCAUCCUGACCUCUGGGACCCAGGGACAUGGUUUAAAAAUCAUGGGCCUAAUGAGUUGUGUUCAGGUUCUGAAUGUGGAAACAGGGAUUCUCUCUGGGUCUGACAUGCCUCUGCUGUUCCAGUCCGUUCAGCCUGUACACUGACAAGUGUGCCUUUGCCUGUGCUAUGGUUCUGGCUGCUGGUGAGCCAGGGCGUGAGAGGAGAGAGACAUUAGCCUGGCCCGGGUCAUUUGCCUUCUGGGAGAAGGCAGGAUCAGACUCCAGCCUAAGGAAGUCUCUGGAGGAUUGGGGGUCUGUGGUCACAGCAAAGAUGAGAAGAAGAGUGGGACAGAUGCCCUUGGACCCUUUGCACACCAUCACUUCCACGUCACAAAAUCCAGGCCUCGGGUUCAGGUCUUGUGCUUAAGGAUACAGAGAGGAACAAGACACAGCACCAGUCCUCCAGGAACUCACUCACAUAGGAAUGAAGGGACAGGGAUAAGCCAUCAGGACACUCUGUGUAUGGCCAUCAAAGAGAUGAAGAGGCUUGCCCCAAGUCCCUGCGGGGGCAAAGUCAAGACUGGACUUGGACCUUCUGAUGCCCCAUUCUCAGUGGAAUCCGCAAACACUUAAUGAGUCCCUGCCAUGUGCCCAGCAUUGCUCACCACAGCGGAGAUAGUGGUGAAGAGAACAGAUCCGGACUUGCCCACGCAGAGCUUACAGGGGUGCUAGGAAGCUGCACACUAAAUAAACACUUGUAUGUGCUUAGAGAAGUAGUUGCAAGUGACUUGGAAGAGAAAUGCAGGGUUCAGGGGGGGGCCCCAGACUGUUUGGAGG
Lutra lutra (Eurasian river otter) is the source of this 1484-nucleotide long non-coding RNA. RefSeq lists it as uncharacterized. The transcript has 3 exons. Lineage: Eukaryota; Metazoa; Chordata; Mammalia; Carnivora; Mustelidae. The record is from RefSeq and is a predicted model, not a curated record.